GGUUGAGGCUUUUCCACUAGUUCUU
This 25-nucleotide unclassified non-coding RNA is filed under the name Dictyostelium discoideum. Lineage: Eukaryota; Evosea; Eumycetozoa; Dictyosteliales; Dictyosteliaceae. The record is from RNAcentral.